AAAACUCUACAAUAAUCAAAUACUACAUAUUAUCAAAUAAAGUAUUACCUUAAUCCAAGAUUUGGUGUAGAGCCGAGCGAAAUCAUGUAAGCUUGAUAUCAAAAUAACGGAUCUGGCAAAUUCAUACGGUGCAACUUUGAUAGAAGAUCAAAGAGCAGCGAUUGUUUCCAUUUGCAGCACUAAAAUCGCAGCCCGAACCCAAAGGUUUCCACUACCCGAACCCUUAAUUGUCUCCACAAAGGUUUAGGGGUGGAAGGUGAGAAGAAUCAAAGAUUUUGAUGUGUAUGAAGGUUUUCCUCAUGUGGAUUUUCGUCCCUCAAGUUAAUUAGAACUCUGUCGAUUAUGACGACGCUAGGGUUUUGGGAGGAGAAUUCAU
RNAcentral lists this long non-coding RNA (376 nucleotides) under Panax ginseng (ginseng). Its description in RNAcentral is "long non-coding RNA (PGIN_LNC017007)". The record is from RNAcentral. Lineage: Eukaryota; Viridiplantae; Streptophyta; Magnoliopsida; Apiales; Araliaceae.